RNAcentral lists this ribosomal RNA (253 nucleotides) under uncultured bacterium. RNAcentral's name for it is "partial 16S ribosomal RNA". It matches the Rfam family "Bacterial small subunit ribosomal RNA", at positions 524 to 776 of the family's 1533-position model. The record is from RNAcentral.
UACGUAGGGUGCAAGCGUUGUCCGGAAUUAUUGGGCGUAAAGAGCUCGUAGGCGGCUUGUCACGUCGACUGUGAAAACCCGGGGCUCAACUCCGGGCCUGCAGUCGAUACGGGCAGGCUAGAGUUCGGUAGGGGAGAUCGGAAUUCCUGGUGUAGCGGUGAAAUGCGCAGAUAUCAGGAGGAACACCGGUGGCGAAGGCGGAUCUCUGGGCCGAUACUGACGCUGAGGAGCGAAAGCGUGGGGAGCGAACAGG